RNAcentral lists this unclassified non-coding RNA (230 nucleotides) under Bombus terrestris (buff-tailed bumblebee). RNAcentral's name for it is "misc RNA ENSBTSG00005031011.1". The record is from RNAcentral. Lineage: Eukaryota; Metazoa; Arthropoda; Insecta; Hymenoptera; Apidae.
GUUCAUGCGUUGCACUGCGAUAUGGUAUCGUUCGAGAUACGGGUGCUUCGUCGAGAACGUUCGCGGAAAGCUCAGAACGAUAUCACGGCGCGUAGAAAAUCCGUGCGUCCCGUGUGUCUGCGGGGAUUGAAAGGAGCCUUUCGAUUUAUCGUCGACUGAAAGUCUCGAAAGUCCACACGAGAACAUGCGAGAAACGUCGAAGUGGAAGAACUCGAUAAAACAGCUAUUCG